Molecule: ribosomal RNA, 500 nt
Filed under: uncultured bacterium
Lineage: Bacteria
Description: partial 16S ribosomal RNA
Rfam family: Bacterial small subunit ribosomal RNA
Source: RNAcentral
AUUGAACGCUGGCGGAAUGCUUUACACAUGCAAGUCGAACGGCAGCACGGACUUCGGUCUGGUGGCGAGUGGCGAACGGGUGAGUAACAUAUCGGAACGUAUCCAAUAAUGGGGGAUAACGAGUCGAAAGAUUCGCUUAUACCGCAUACGCCCUACGGGGGAAAGCUGGGGACCUUUGGGCCUGGCGUUAAUGGAGCGGCCGAUAACUGAUUAGCUAGUUGGUGAGGUAAAGGCUCACCAAGGCGACGAUCAGUAGCUGGUCUGAGAGGACGACCAGCCACACUGGAACUGAGACACGGUCCAGACUCCUACGGGAGGCAGCAGUGGGGAAUUUUGGACAAUGGGCGCAAGCCUGAUCCAGCCAUUCCGCGUGAGUGAAGAAGGCCUUCGGGUUGUAAAGCUCUUUCGCAAGGGAAGAAAACUUAGCCACUAACAUUGGUUGAGGUUGACGGUACCUUGAUAAGAAGCACCGGCUAACUACGUGCCAGCAGCCGCAGUAA